CGCCGCCCCCGCCGCCCCCGCCGCCCCCGCCGAAACCCAAAGAGCCUGUCAAGAUUAUCUGCUGCUUCAAGCCGUGGCCAGACUGCUGCUUCCGGCCAUGCCCUUGUUUCGAGGCAAGCAAAGGCUGUCGCCGGUGCUGCUCCUGUGGUUGGAUGUGCUGCGUUCGAGAGCCGGUCUGUGUUCCACCGCCCAACCCCUGCCCGUCGUGUUGCCCUCCCAGGGCUUGCCCAUCGGACCACUGCUGCUCCAAGCCAAGCCCGCCGCCGAAUCCAUGUUUCCAUGGCUACAAGUUUGUCUACGAGGAGGGGCCGCCGCCAGAUCCAUGCACCAUUAUGUAAUCUUUAAUCGACCUCUCGUCUGUCCUUUGGUUCCAAUUCCCGUACUUUCAUUCGGCCGCUGAAGAGUAGUGCAAGCGACGAAAGACGUAAAUAAGAUCGUAAUGCCGACAAGAUCAUCCCAUCCGAUCUUGUGGAUUAUGAUGAAAGAAAGAUCCAAGAAGCUUAGUUUUCGAUGUCUGUACUUGAGUGGAAGUUCGUGUUUCUAUUUGUGUCAGCUUUGUUCUUUCAAGCCAUUUGAAUUAUGGGUUCUUGGUUUUCUAAAUGAUUUUAUCAGUACUCUAAUCAAGGUGUAACUUUAUCAGUGUUUUAAUCAAGAUGCACAACUCGAGCAUCAUUUUUAGGCGAUGAGUGUAUCCAUACGAUUUUGUCAUUUCAAAACAUAUGAACUUCAAAAAAUAUUUUUAAAUGUAAAAGAGAUAUGAUGGGAGCUCUUGAUUCCCAUAAUCCUCAACCAAUGUGAGACUAAAUAACCUUAUCAGAAACCAAACAAUCUACUCAAAUGAUGUCUUGUAUAUCUUCACCUGAUGCAAAUUCAAUACGGUCCAAAUGAAUUAAAAUUACCCACGGAAAACAGAACCAAAGGAAGCCUAAACGAGCAGAAUCAAUCACAAAAUGCAUUCAUUCACCAAGCUCAUAUUUCGCCCAGGAGGGGAAAGGAACGAUGAUACCGAACUGGUGGCGGAGAGUGGUACCACGAGAGGCGGUUUGUUGGCUUUGACGGCGGCGACGCCGAGGUCGAGGCAGCAGCGGAAGGCGACCUGCAUCGGAAUAGCUACAGCAGGUUGCCGCGGGGGUCGUCGUCGACCGCUGUCGCCCAGCCAAAUUAAU
Molecule: long non-coding RNA, 1166 nt
Filed under: Musa acuminata (dwarf banana)
Lineage: Eukaryota; Viridiplantae; Streptophyta; Magnoliopsida; Zingiberales; Musaceae
Description: long non-coding RNA (MACU_LNC010577)
Source: RNAcentral